This 355-nucleotide ribosomal RNA is filed under the name uncultured Geobacillus sp. RNAcentral describes it as "bacterial SSU rRNA". It matches the Rfam family "Bacterial small subunit ribosomal RNA", at positions 1026 to 1382 of the family's 1533-position model. Lineage: Bacteria; Bacillati; Bacillota; Bacilli; Caryophanales; Anoxybacillaceae. The record is from RNAcentral.
ACAGGGUGACAGGUGGUGCAUGGGUUGUCGUCAGCUCGUGUCGUGAGAUGUUGGGUUAAGUCCCGCAACGAGCGCAACCCUCGCCUCUAGUUGCCAGCAUUCGGUUGGGCACUCUAGAGGGACUGCCGGCGACAAGUCGGAGGAAGGUGGGAUGACGUCAAAUCAUCAUGCCCCUUAUGACCUGGGCUACACACGUGCUACAAUGGGCGGUACAAAGGGCUGCGAACCCGCGAGGGGGAGCGAAUCCCAAAAAGCCGCUCUCAGUUCGGAUUGCAGGCUGCAACUCGCCUGCAUGAAGCCGGAAUCGCUAGUAAUCGCGGAUCAGCAUGCCGCGGUGAAUACGUUCCCGGGCCUU